This 253-nucleotide ribosomal RNA is filed under the name uncultured bacterium. RNAcentral's name for it is "partial 16S ribosomal RNA". It matches the Rfam family "Bacterial small subunit ribosomal RNA", at positions 524 to 776 of the family's 1533-position model. The record is from RNAcentral.
UACGUAGGGAGCAAGCGUUGUCCGGAAUCAUUGGGCGUAAAGCGCGCGUAGGCGGCCCUGUAAGUCCGUUGUGAAAGUCAAAGGCUCAACCUUUGAAAGCCGAUGGAUACUGCAGGGCUGGAGUCCGGAAGAGGCGAGUGGAAUUCCUGGUGUAGCGGUGGAAUGCGCAGAUAUCAGGAGGAACACCAAUAGCGAAGGCAGCUCGCUGGGACGGUACUGACGCUGAGGCGCGACAGCGUGGGGAGCAAACAGG